This 510-nucleotide ribosomal RNA is filed under the name uncultured bacterium. RNAcentral describes it as "partial 16S ribosomal RNA". It matches the Rfam family "Bacterial small subunit ribosomal RNA", at positions 28 to 507 of the family's 1533-position model. The record is from RNAcentral.
GACGAACGCUGGCGGCGUGCUUAACACAUGCAAGUCGAACGAAGAGCGAUGGAAGCUUGCUUCUAUCAAUCUUAGUGGCGAACGGGUGAGUAACGCGUAAUCAACCUGCCCUUCAGAGGGGGACAACAGUUGGAAACGACUGCUAAUACCGCAUACGAUCUAAUCUCGGCAUCGAGGAUAGAUGAAAGGUGGCCUCUACAUGUAAGCUAUCACUGAAGGAGGGGAUUGCGUCUGAUUAGCUAGUUGGAGGGGUAACGGCCCACCAAGGCGAUGAUCAGUAGCCGGUCUGAGAGGAUGAACGGCCACAUUGGGACUGAGACACGGCCCAGACUCCUACGGGAGGCAGCAGUGGGGAAUCUUCCGCAAUGGACGAAAGUCUGACGGAGCAACGCCGCGUGAGUGAUGACGGCCUUCGGGUUGUAAAGCUCUGUUAAUCGGGACGAAAGGCCUUCUUGCGAAUAGUGAGAAGGAUUGACGGUACCGGAAUAGAAAGCCACGGCUAACUACGUG